Long non-coding RNA from Nothoprocta perdicaria, 146 nucleotides. RefSeq lists it as uncharacterized. The record is from RefSeq and is a predicted model, not a curated record. Lineage: Eukaryota; Metazoa; Chordata; Aves; Tinamiformes; Tinamidae. The transcript is spliced from 2 exons.
AAGCAGGGCAGCGCCGUCACCGUGGGCCCCUUCUACCAGGGCCGCCCCAUCACCAUCGUCAACGAGGCCGACCUGCAGCUGGGCCCCGCGGCCUGGGGCGACGGCGGCUCCUACGUCUGCAGCGUCGCCUCGGUCGAGGACCUGCU